AUGUGACUGAUCACACCUGCCAAGUCUUUUAUUACCUAGGAAGGUUCUGGGAAGUAGGACGUACAUCUCGGUUGGAGUGGUGUUAUUCUAUUGGCCGGAAUCUCUUUACAUGUUUUAAAAGUCGAUAUUGGUUAUGCUGAAGGCUGCUUCCAGCAAGAGCUGUGUUUAUAUAAGUAGGCUCAGCUCCUUCUCUCGUUCUUUUUCUGUUGGCAGCUGUGGUUACUUGGAAAGCAAACUUGACUUAGAAGACUGGGAUUCAGGCUCGGAUACUUACUGGGUGACCUUGGAAAAGUGAUUAACAUUUGCUCAUCGCAUCAGUCUCCUGGGUUGUCAGAGAAAGCAGAGUUGUCAUGUAGAUCAAAGGAGUCCACGGCUUGAAUUCACUUUCUAGAUAGCAAAGUGCUAUGCUACACAAGGGAAGAAUAGAUUGUUUAUUACAGCCUGUUACUAGAUCUGGGUGAAGAGUAAUCAUGAAAAAGGAAUUACAAGAAAGGAAAGAAAUAGAGAUAAUUGUGGCUGUUGAGUUAUGUCUUGGUUUACAACAUAUUCUCUGUUAUUGUGACUUUUGGCAAAACCCUCUUAUUGCCACGUGUUUUCCUUUUCCAAGGAAGCAGAUGUUACUAACAGACUGAUCAGUACCCAGUUUUAUUUAUUAUAAAAAGAGUCUUUUCCAGUUGCAAGUGGCCUCAUGUGCCUCUUAUUCCAGCCCUGUGGUUGGCAGAGACAGGAGGGUCACUGGGGCACGCUGGCUGCCAGACUAGCUUCAGGUCCAGUGAGAGACCCUGUCUCAAGGGAAUAAGGCAGAGAGCGAUAAAGGAGGACCAGGCCUCUGGCCUCUGCAUACAUGAGCAUGGAUGUGGGCAUCCACACCUCUGAAAGCAUAUAUAACACACCGCCACUCCCUCCCCUUCCAUGAUCAUGGUCUGUUGAUCUCCACUGGGGAAGGAACAUUGAUCUUCACUGGGGAAGGAACACCCUCCUCUUUCCUUGGAAAUACAGGCUUGACUGCAAGCUUACGAAUAGGGUCUUUUAAAAGUAGAAGGAUCUAACUUCAUCCUAGAGAAGGUCAGAUGUAAGGUUCCCCUUUUCACCCUGAACAUCCUGUUACUGCAACGCUCAAGCGUGUUUCUAGGUUUCAGCUGCAGGCAGCGGACAAGCCUGGCCAGGCAGACUCUCAUCCAGAAGAAUGCGGUAAAGUUAUUCCCCCUCCCACUCCUCCCCCAUUCCUAGGCUUUGCUUUAAAUAACAAAUGUAAAAAUGGCCUCCGUGGUGUACACUCCCCAGCUUAUUGAAGCUAAUACACUUAGGUAGACUGGAAAACAGCUUUCUGCAAGUCUAACUUCCUCCUUCUGGUGAGUUUUUCUGUCUUUUAGAGAUAUGUCUAGAUUGUACAUUUAUAGUAGCCUUUAUAAAUUACAAAGUUAAAACAAAUGAAACAUAGUGUUCUUUUGCUACAGUGUGAAUUUAGAGUAAAGAUUUUUCUUUAAUGAGCAUGUAUCUUCCGACAGAAUCAGUCAUCUCCUGGUUCAGAACUGUGGGAUUGGAGCACCUUAGGAAUACAUACUUUUAUCUAGUUCUUUUUUAUCGAUUAACAUAUAGCUAAUAAUAUCUUAUUUAAUAUCAGUAACAUUUGACCAACCAGUUUCACAUGAUCCCUUUAAAUCCUACUUCUCACAGUUUGAUCCGACUCAUGUCCAUUCAUUCGCUCAAGACUGGGGUUGAUUUUAUUUUAUUUUUCUUUUCGAAUCUCCAGUAAAGGGAUUUUGUUUGUAACUGUUUGAAGUUCUCCGGAUCACUUCCUCCCCAACACUAGCAGGAAACAAUCCAGCAUUGAGAGAGCAGUCGGCUCACACAAGCCUGUGUUCUUUGUGCUGUGUUCCUGCAGAACCUCGGAGAUGGUGGCUGGUGGGAUGAGGGGGGAAGAGUCUGAAUAAGGCUAAAUAAACAGUGCUGGUACCCAGAAAAAUGAGCUCCAGCCUGUUUCUUCCGGAUACACUUUGCUGACUCUUCUUGUUUAUCUUUAGAGGAUAGCUGUCUUAGGUAAACAAUGUUUCCAGAUAGUUCUGUGGAAAUUAGUAACAGCAGCCAGCUUCGGUAGGGACACAUAGAGUAUGAGAGGAGGAGGGGACAUGCACCAGCCAGAUCAGCUGAAUCACCCUGGUGACCAGCAGAAUGACAGCUGACAGCCACAUUGCUCCCAAAGGUGUCCUUCACCAAGAGCAGCAGAGGCCUUGGGCCUCAUUCCCGGCUGCAUCCCUACCAUCUAGACAGAGGAUUUUAAUGAAUGAUCAAAGGGCUUUCUUCCUCUGACCUUGAAAGUUUCACAUAAAUAAUAACUUCUAUUGAGAGGUUUUUUUUUUUUCUUUCUCACCCAAAUUUAUUUUUUACUAAUAUCCAAGUUGAAGUUUUAUUUGGAGUAGAAAACUGCUCGAGGAAGGUUUUUUUUUGGUUUUUUUUGUUUUUUGUUUUUUGUUUUUUGGUUUUUUUUUUUUGGUUUUUCAAGACAGAGUUUCUCUGUUUAAUCCUGGCUGUCCUGGAACUCACCCUGUAGACCUGGCUGGCCUCGAACUCAGAAAUCCACCUGCCGCUGCCUCCCGAGUGCUGGGAUUAAAGGUGUGCACCACCACCGCCCGGCGGGAUGACAUUGUUUUGACAGCUUGUUUUAGCAAACAAAAACCAACAAAUUCUCUAAGGACCCAAAUCAUCUAGUUAUUUACAGAACCCAUAGUAAUGAAUAGGAACCCAAUGGCCGAAAACACGUUUGACUUCUAAGUAGAAGCUUCUCUCGUAUUUCUUUUGGAUAUUUCAGCAUUUCUCAUUUAAAAAGAGUGGUAUAAUCUAGUCCAAAAGAUGUUCUUUAGUCAUAAAGAGAAGAGAAAAAACUAUCUGUUUUAGGGUACCAGGGUAUCUUCAUCUUAAAAUUCAGCAUAAUGUUAAUGAUAGUUUAGUUCUCCAGCAAGCUGAACCCUCAUGUCUGGGCAGUGGCUUGUGAAACACUCUGGAGAGCAUUCGAUACUCACACUGACUGGGUGCUCCUGUUACGGCUUCUGCCCUGAAGGAAACAUGCCCUCCUGGGAGUUUGGUGGGGCACAAAGAACAUAUUUUGGAAGAUUG
This 3114-nucleotide long non-coding RNA is filed under the name Mus musculus (house mouse). Its description in RNAcentral is "long non-coding RNA chr2:83738779-83741893". The record is from RNAcentral. Lineage: Eukaryota; Metazoa; Chordata; Mammalia; Rodentia; Muridae.